Molecule: non-coding RNA, 438 nt
Organism: Salmo salar (Atlantic salmon)
Lineage: Eukaryota; Metazoa; Chordata; Actinopteri; Salmoniformes; Salmonidae
Source: RefSeq, a predicted model, not a curated record
CGGAGUAAAACUAUAAAUUGACCUAGUCAACGUGGGGCAUGUUGUGAGUAAUGGAUAUGUGGGUCAUUUAAACGCAACAUUGACGAUUGUCAAGAAGACUUACAGCAUUGCAGCACAGGAAAAAGGUUCAACAUAAACACACGCCCAGAGGGACUACUACUUCGCCUGAAUGGCAGUCUACUCUGUCACGCCAAUAUUGUUGGGAAGAGCACAGAUCUGGGACCAGGCUAACUUCAACAUUCCUUACUGAGGCUCCCAGGAUGAUGAAGAUGUGGGAGUCAGAUGGAUGGGAGAGCUCUCUUCUCAGCCGUCCAAAUACCUCAGAAAGGGACCUGAGCCCUAGGACCAUGCCUCAGGACAAUCUGGUAUGAUGACUCCUUGCUGUCCCCAGUCCACCUGGCCGUGCUGCUGCUCCAGUUUCAACUGUUCUGCCUGCGG